GACUCCUACGGGAGGCAGCAGUGGGGAAUAUUGCACAAUGGGCGAAAGCCUGAUGCAGCGACGCCGCGUGAGGGAUGACGGCCUUCGGGUUGUAAACCUCUUUCAGCAGGGAAGAAGCGAAAGUGACGGUACCUGCAGAAGAAGCGCCGGCUAACUACGUGCCAGCAGCCGCGGUAAUACGUAGGGCGCAAGCGUUGUCCGGAAUUAUUGGGCGUAAAGAGCUCGUAGGCGGCUUGUCACGUCGGUUGUGAAAGCCCGGGGCUUAACCCCGGGUCUGCAGUCGAUACGGGCAGGCUAGAGUUCGGUAGGGGAGAUCGGAAUUCCUGGUGUAGCGGUGAAAUGCGCAGAUAUCAGGAGGAACACCGGUGGCGAAGGCGGAUCUCUGGGCCGAUACU
This is a ribosomal RNA of 395 nucleotides. It matches the Rfam family "Bacterial small subunit ribosomal RNA", at positions 334 to 741 of the family's 1533-position model.